AGGAGCACGGACAGCGAGGGCCUGGGAAACGCGUGGAACACACGUCCCGGCUCGUUUUCCUCUCCCACUCUGAUAACCUGUGUUUCGAUACGAAACGGGCCCUGCCUCAUUAUUUGUCAUCUCCCUGGAGGUGACGGAGGGCUGUUUCAACCUCAGGGGAAAAGUUGCUGUACAGAACACAGGCCAGAGUGUGCCCCAAAGAAAUCAGGCGGUGGAGUGAUUUAAAAGUGAUCAUUUUCUGUAGUCCUAGCUACUCGGGAGGCUGAGGCAGGAAAAUCGCUUGAACCCGGGAGAAGAAGGAUGCAGUGAGCAGAGAUCGUGCCAUUGCACUUCAGCCUGGCGACAGAGCAAGACUCCGUCUCAAAAAGAAAAAAAAAAAGUGAUCAUUUUCAUGUGAGUUUAUGUGGGUGAGAGAGGGAGGGUGGCAGGAGAGGAGAGUGGAGAGGAGAGUGGUGCGUUCUGUGUCCCUGAAGGACAAAAUCAGAGAAAAUGAACUUUAAAUGGCAGAAAUUGUGGUCAGAUCUGGGGAAGGGCCAUCAGGUUUUCACACUCAGGCAUGGAGGGUGUAGUGUCUGGAACCUUUAGGAAGAGCCCCAGGCUCUAAGUGUGUGCUGGAUGUUCGUCGUUAUUGUUGUUGGUGGUGGGAUCUCAUGACCAGUUAUGGCAGUGGGUACCUGGGAGAAUUCCCGUGGGGGAUAGCUAGUCCAGGAGCUUGUAUCUUAAGGGGCCCUAUUUCCCAGCCGCAUACUGAGCAGGCCUGAUCCCAUCAACUCGGUUGAUGUCGGUUACUAAGAGGGCUGCAGGAAGAGGGCAUGACUCAGUGCAAUGUAACCCCGUGCUGGAGAUUCAACUGAGCUCUCAACCAGCAAGUGGCCAGGCACAGGGGAGCUGCUGUCUACACACGGAGGACUGGAAGUUCUUAGCAAGCCUGUCGGGAUUUGUGCACAGGAAUGCUGCCUCUAAGGUCCCUCCUGCUGACAAUGGCCAGGGCAGUGCGGAGGCUCCUCUUUGGAAAUUGUCUUCAGAGCUGAUGCAGACUCUUUUGAAAGCAGCCACAGACAUUGGGGAUGGAGUCUGGUGGUUAAGGUGAGUGCUUACUCCAAUUCUCAAACAGGGACCAAUUUGAAUCACAGACUACAGGAGUCAGAAGAUUCUCUAGAACAGAGGUUCUCCGUGUGGUCCCCAUACCAGCAGCAUCACCUAGGAACUUGAUAGAAAUGUACAUUCUUGGGCCUCCUACCCCAGGCAUGCUGAAUCAGAGCUCUGGGGUGGGGCCUAGCAAUCUGCCUGUUAACAAGCCCCCUGCACCCCUGAUAUUCUGAUGCUUGUUCAACUUAUACAAAUCAGAGAGUUAGACUUUUCUGGGUCACGAACCCUGAAAAAUCAGACGAAACUGUAGAAACUCCUACCAGAAAAAUGCACAGGCACAUUCAUGCAUACCUUCAAAGGUCUGCACACAAUUUCAAGGGCCUAAUUCCUUGGGCUAAGAACCUCUGAUCUACACAAAAUUCUUCCCUCAAAUGUUCUUACAUUUGAGGACGGAAGCAGGAAGAGUAAUUGCCUGUGUGAUUCAAUGUGGGCAGAAGGUGGCGCUGUAGAAACAGAAUUGUAGCAUUUGCCAAAUCCUGGUAGAGGGAAAGGGGUAGGGGCAACGGAGAGGGAUGGGGAGAGGUGCCUCCACCACCCAAUUAUUUUUCUCUGCCAAAGCUACAGAUGCAUCCGAUAGUCGCAAAACCACAGGUCUGGGGACCUAGUUCUGGUUUCCUAGAUCGGCCUCAUUUUACAGUGGAGAAAAUGGACACCUGUAUAGGUUCCGACUCCAUGCCACACUGGGUCCCAUGGAGAAUGGCAGGUCUGGUGGAGAGUGUGGUGGAGGUGGAGAGGGGGCAGGAGGUGGCACCAACUGUUGAAUCAGGCUUAUUAGCAUUUCUGCAUUCCAGGCAGAAACAUUGCUGGCUAUUCUCAAGGGAGAAUAAUACUACAUUUGUCUGAUGUGAACCUCACAAUAAUCCUAUUAUUAUUUAAUAGAUGAGGAAACUGGGAUUUACAAUCCGAGAUUGAUGGUUCUCUAACUUGAGCAUCAGUUCACCUGGAAGGCUUGUGAGGACAGACUUCUGGGCCCUACCCCCAGAGCUUCUGAUUCUGUCAGUCUGAGGUGGAGCCCAAGAAUUUGUAUUUCUAACACGUUCCUGGGCAGUGCUAAUGCUGUUGAUCUAGGGUUGGCAUGUAGCUAGCAGAAAAGAGUGGGAUGGAUCUGGGAUUAAAAUCCAAACCCAGUGUGCUGCACUUAACUACUCAGCCACACUUCCUCCUGGGGCGUCCCUUACACUGGGGGGUCAAGUGGUAAUGUCCGUAUGAACUCAGAAUCUGUUUGUUAGCAAAGAAUGGGUCUGAUUUAUUUAAUAUUGUUGGCUCAGGUUUUGACAGGUGCAUAGCUAGUCAUGCUAACAUUUAUUCAUUCAUUUAUCUCAUUAAUGUACUCACCUUUCCUUUGAGCAAACAUGCUGAGCACCUACUAUAGCCUAUGUGUUCAGUAAAAAUGCUGUGUUGGGCUUCUGGAGCUGAAGAUGAACAAAACACAGUUCAUGGCCAAUAGCAGGGCACGGUGUGUGUGGGGAAGGGUAGGGAGGAGAUACAUGGCCAGAUCUUGACCAAAUACCUCAGUGGAUGCCACUAAUAAAACCACAAAAAGUAGAGAAGAGGGAGAGGCAUCCAGGAGAAGGUGACCUCUCAACCCUGGGGAUGAGUCAGAGGGAGGGAAUAGGGGGAAGUGUAGUCUAGGAGGCAGAGGGAAAAAUCUGUGCACAAAAUUACAGCUAGCCAGGAGCAAUAAGUUCUAGUGUUCUAUACCACAAUAGGAUGACUGUAGUUAACAACUAUAUAUAUAUAUAUAUAUAUAUAUAUAUAUAUAUAUAUAUCUCUUCAAAUAGCCAGAAAGAGGAUACUAAUAUUCCCAACACAAAGAAAGGAUGCUGGAGAUGAUGGAUAUGCUAAUUGCCCUGACCUGAUCACUAUGCAUUAUAUGUAUCAAAACAUCACUGUGUACCUCAGGAAUAUGUACAAUUAUUGUGUGUCUAUUAUAAAAUGCACAGACACAAUCCCCCAUUCUUUGUCAUUCCUUUCUACAUACUCUAUCCUCUUGUCCAACUAAUUGUGAGAAGGGUUCUUUGCCUAGAACCUAUCUCAGAGUCUACAGAGAGAACUCAGGGCUUCUGUGAUCUUGAAUGGGAAAGUUACAUUUUUACAUUCAUUAACGUUUACGCAAAUUUAGUGUUUCCUCUAGUUCUGAAUGUAAGGAACAAACCACGGUAGAAUUAGCAUUUCCACGGUACCUGUGACUUUGUUACCAUCAGAAAUCACAGAUAUUUUCAUACCACAUUACAGUCGUUGCAGGUAUCUCAAAAUAGUAUUUGUGCUCAUCACUGCUUUAAAAUUAUAGCAGUGAAACUGGCGGUGACAUCUCGUAAUUUAAUUUGUUAAUAAACAUACAUUACUGAUCACAUUUUUAAAAAAUGACAUGCAAGUGCCCAGAGAUCUCAAAUGGCAGCCCCAUGCAGACACUAUUUCAGGUGUUGGUUUCUACACAGGGAAGGGAGAGUGAUGAGAGUGAGUGGAAAGGCUUGCAGGCACCCUCAUAGAAAAGACCUGUAAGCAGCUGGGCACGGUGGCUCACGCCUGUAAUCCCAGCACUUUGGGAGGCCGAGGCGGGCGGAUCACCAGGUCAAGAGAUCGAGACCAUCCUGGCUAACACGGGGAAACCCCGUCUCUGCUAAAAAACAAAUAAUCAGCUGGGCGUGGUAGCGGGUGCCUGUAGUCCCAGCUACUCGGGAGGCUGAGGCAGGAGAAUAGCGUGAACCUGGAGGGCGGAGCUUGCAGUGAGCCGAGAUUGCGCCACUGCACUCCAGCCUGGGGGACAGAGUGAGACUCCGUCUCAAAAAAAAAAAAAAAAAAGAAAAGACCUGUAAGCUGAGGGCACUGGAGAGCCCUGGGCAAAUUUGAUGCAAGGGUCAGGUCUGAAGGGCUGGAGGAUGGAGACAGGAUAGGAGGGUGCCAGGCUGGGAGCCCAAGGCCAUCGCCAUCACAAGGUAGCAGUGGGGUGGGAGGGAGCUACAGACAUGGGCGCUGGCAGGUGUGGGGUCUGGGACAAGAGGGGUCAAAGGGGCACCGAGACUUCCAGUUUGCUCAGCUAGGAGGUGGGGUGGGAGGCUGAGGGAGUGGGGCUGGUUGGUGGAGGGAGGAUAAGAGAGUGAUCUUGUACCUUUGCAGGGCUCUUUAUGGCUCAAGAAUUCCCAACCCCAGGACUCAAGAUACUGUCAGUGUCUGCCAGUUUCCCAGGGGCUACAAAAUAGCCCACAGCCCACUUACCUUUGGUGGGGCCCACUUCACUUACCACCCAUGUUGCUGAGACUGAGAUAUUCCAAAGGCCUUUGGAGGCCAUCAAGAUCCCUAGAAAAUUUAGUUGGCAUUGACUUGCCACCUCCUCCUCUUUCCCGUUAAAAGAAGAUCCUGUGAGAGUCGAGGGUGGGGAGAGUCUAGCCCUCGAGGAGGUUAGGUACAGCCGUGCUGUGGUCCAGCCUUCCUCUGAGGAGGUUAGGUACGUCCAUGCCACUGAUAGGGAAACGGAGGCAGGACAGCUUGUUAGGGAUAGUAGGAGGUUUCCCAAGGCCCAGGGCUGGGCCUCCAUGGGGUUUUUAUGGUUUUUACUGAAAAGGCAGGGAGGAGAAAGCUUGGACGGCUGGGGAUACAGCUAGGGAAGGAGAGUGGGAGUGGGUGCCUGGAUGGAGAGAACAGAGCAGGCCCUGGGGGCCAUGGAGGGAAAGGGUAAUUUAGAAGAAAUCCUGCAGGGCAGGGGAGAGGCGCCCUGGGAUUUGGCCUUAGUGCCAGGGAGGCAGCAGAAGAGUCUUACCUUGACCCGGUCCAGCACCACCAGGGGCCCGUUCACGCUGCACACAGUCCUGUAGGCUGGGGGAGGGGCGGGGGUGAGUAGGGGUCUCACCCCAAACACCCUGCUCACACACACAGAGGCAUCCUCUGCCUUCCCUUCCUCUCUCCACACCCCACCUCCUUCCCAGCCUGGGCCGUCAGGGUCAUUAGCUGUGACAGGGCCAGCCACCAUUGCUGUAAGGGUCAUGCCCCUGCCCGCAGGGCCCCUGCUGCUCGGACACCUGCAGGAGGCUGGGGGAGGGCCAGGCAGAGGGCAGAGGCCUCCUCAGAGUCCGCCCCCACCACACAGAGGCCUCUCAUCCCUGAGGCUGCUUCCCCUCUGGCUUCAACCCCCACCUCACCCACUCCCUCCUCUCUCACUCCAAGCAUUUUCCAAAAGCUCCUGGCCCCCGGCUGUGGCCGAAAAGUGCCCUCCUCUGCCCUCACCAGGACUGCAUUUCCCUCCAUUCACCCCACACUGAUUGAGCAGUGUGUGUGUGUGUGUGUGUAUGUGGUGUGUAGGGGGUGCAGACGUCAGUGAGAAAAACCAGACGGGGCCUCUGCUCUCAUCACAAGGUUCCUGGACUCCCCAGGCUCACUGGGUGCUCAGCAUGGGAGGGGAGGGAGUGAAAAGGCAAGGGAAGGAGGGAAAUGCCUGCAGAUGUGGCAGCUGCAGAGACCCACACAUGGCAAAUGAGCUCAGCUUGCAUAGGGAAUUGGGUUAGAUGCCAAAAAAUACUUCCUAACUCCCAUAGAAGAAGCUGUGGACUUGCGGGAGGCAAGCCUAGUUUUGGUUCUGCUAGAGGCUGGCUGAGAGACCUGGGACAGUCCCUUGCCCAUAGUCCUGACCAGUGCCCUUCUCUGAGGUUCUUGUGAUGCACCAAUGAGAUGAGACACCUGAGAUGAAGGCAUUUGGCAAGGUGGGCAGGGGGUCUGUGAGGCCUCUGGGUCAGCCACAGGCUGGCAGGAUGCAGAGGGGAGUGGCCCAACCCCUCUUUCACAGGCAAGGAAAAUGGGGCCCAGAAGUGUGAGAAGCCUUGCCCAGGGCCACACAGCACAUCUGUAGCAGAGCUGGGGCUGGGAACCCACCCUGUGCUUCUUGCUGGACCACACUGGUUCUCGGUUCACUUACCCUCUUGCUUUGGGCAAGCCUGGCCCCGAGCCACCCCAUGCCAAAGAAAAACCAAAAGUCCCUCCCCUUCCCAGUCUGGAUAUGUGUGGUCAAGCUUCUUCUUUUUGUUUGAUCUAAGCUCUUUUCACCAGGACUUGGACUAGGAAGAUCAACUGGGCACGGUGAUUCUUGCACAGAUUUUUAUAAGGAUCCUCCAAGUGUAACAACCAUUUGGAAAACUCCGGGCCUUGAGGACAGCCAGAGAAGAUAAGUUCAACUUGCACUUUGCCAGAGCAGGGGAUCUCCCUCAGCUCCCUGCCUUCAAACCUACCUUACAGACCUGCCUGGCCUGCACCUGAGCCACCCUCUUCUUCCUUCCUAUUCCCACUAAGGAGGUGUCCCUGCUUCCUUCAUAGUGGGUCCUUCCCCUGCACCGGGAAACAGGCCCUAGAGAUGACUCCAUGGGGUGAAGGACCAGAGCCUCCUUGCCUCUCUCUCUGUCUCUCUCUCCCUCUCUUGUCUUCCCAUGAAGCUCUGAUGUUUCCAGUACAAAAUAAACCUCGCUCAGUCCCAGUCCUUCUCCAGUUCCUCCCCUCACAAGCAUGGCCCCCCACUGCUGGCUUUCCUUCCCCACCUUCCACCCUCUCCUUGGCCUUCUCCACUCUGGCUUCAGUGGCCUCCGAUGGCUACACUCAGAGCCUGGGUGCACUGUCCUUUGGAAGCUUCCCUCUGGGGCCGCCUGUCAGCCUCCUCUGAAGACUCACACUCCUCGCUCUCAGACCUUUGGGUGCUGGAGGACUUCGAGGUUUGGCCUGGCUCUCCACUUCUUCCUCUCCUUUCCUCUGAGAUCUGCCUUCUUCCUUCCCUCCCUGCUUCCUUUCUUCAAGCAUAUCUACUGCAUGGAUGCCUUCUAUGUACUAAGCUAGGCAAAUGAAAGUGACAAAUGAAAAUGUGAAGUGCCUACAGGCUAAAAGAAGGAUACAGAGCAAAUAACAUAAUUACAAACUGCAGUGGGUGCUCCUAAGGGAAAGAUCAGGAUGGGUGAACGAGAGUGGGAGGGAAGACCAGACUGGGUGCGCUUGGAGGAAGCAUCUUAUGGGAAGGGCCGUUUGAGCUGAGCCUUCAGGGUCAAGGGGUGCCAGCCCCCAGGGAGCUGGGGAAAGGGCACUUCUGGCAGAGGAGAGAAAGGACUCAUCCAGGGCCUUCGUGGAACAGAAAGAGGGGCAGUGGGCUGGCAUGCACAGGCUCGCUUCAGGUGCAGUAAGACCUGUCACCUCCAGGAGGGCAAGACAUCAUCUGUGGUGCUCAUCGUUGUGUCCCACUUCAUGGAAUAGUGCUGGGAAUAUGGUACACACUCAAGAAAUAUUUGGACAGCUACAGUGGCUCACACCUGUAAUCCCAGCACUCUGGGAGGCUGAGGUGGGUGGAUCACUUGAGCCCAGGAGUUCGAGACCAGCCUGGGCAAUAUGGUGAAGCCUCGUCUCUACAGAAAAAUUUAAAAAUUAGCUGGGCAUGGUGGAACGUGCCUGUGGUCCCAGCUCUCAGGAGGCUGAGGUGGGAGGAUCACCUGAGCCCAGGGAGGUUGAGGCUGCGGUGAGCUCUGAUCAUGCUAUUAUUGCACUCCAGCCUGGGUGACAGAGUAAGAUCCUGUCUCAAAAAAAAAAAAAAAAAAGAAAAAGAAAAAGAAAAAAGAAAAAAAGAAGAAAAAGAAAUCUUUGUGGAUGGAUUAUGAAAGGUGUUAACUGACCCCAUCUGCUCCUUCUCAUACUUCCCACAUCAGAACCAUUGUGUGCCCCCUCCCGACCUUCCCAAGCCUCCAAACCAAAUGAGAGUCCCAUUGACCAGCCUAAAGGGUUGCACCCCUAGCACCAGCCAUACUUCCUGAGAAGGCAGAGAGUAGAAGAGAAAGAGGAUGUACUGGGCUAAGGGGCUGUUGGGCAUAGGAAGACUCCUCAACGAGAAAGGGUAGGAGACAGAGGCUUGGGCAUUACCCUUCCCAUCAAUUAAAAAAAACUCCAAACAGCCACAGCACUCCCACACCCACAUGGUGUUUGGAUCAGAUUGUCUGGAUUGCUAGUGGAUUGUGCAAGCAAAGGGAUGCAGGGCAGGCAGGAGAGACCCUCAUUUUUAUAAGCCCCCGGGAGAGCUGGCAUCUUGCAUGCCACACCUGCCAAAGGGCUGCGCUGGGGGAAGAAAGCAGUGAUGUAAAGAUGCAGGGUGGGUGGGCUGGAUAGGGAGGUGGGGGUGUGGGAGGGGAUGGGGCCCAAGGACCAGAAAAGUCCAGGGAAUCAUUUCUAAUUCCACUGCCUCAGGAGACAAGUCUUUCAACUUCCUCCCUUCCUUCACAGCUGCUCCCCCACUUCACAGCCCCUGUCAUGUAGAAUCCCCAUUAGCCCUGACAUCCAGCAACUCCACCUGGGAGUGGGGGCAGCAGCAGAGUGGGGGACAGAGGAUUAGGGGAUCCACACAGCCCUUCCCUCAGGAGGAAGGGCUGGGCUGGAAGGGGCCUAGAGGCAGCUGCAAAGUGCUUGCUGCAGGUCCUCUGGGAGUCAGAUGCCUUCCCCGGCCAGGCCGCUCGGGUGACCGGGGUGAGAUAUCGAAGCUCAACAUCUUAGCACAUCAGCCUCAGCUGUGAGUUGCCUUCCUGGGCUUCUCGCAGCCUCCAGGCCUGGCUCUGGGUGAACACAUCGCUUCAUGGCCUGGACCCAUCAUUGCAGAUAAUCCACUUAGGCGGCUGUUUCUGUUCAGCAUUGGACUAUGCCCAUCCUUCAAGGCCUUGCCCUUGACUGACUACUGCAGCCCACUGGGUCCUCUCCCCACUGCUGUCCCACGGUACUACAGACUGGGACCCUAGAGGGAUGUCUCUCCCGUCAGAUGUCUUAGAGCUCUGCCUCUCCCCUGUUAAGCCAGCCUGAUCUUUUCUUCUAGGCUGUUUGGUUUGGACACAGCCAAAAUGGGGGCUGAGCAACAGAGGUGUCCUUGACUGCAAGCCGGUCCUUUUGUUUGUACACUGCCGCCCCUACCUCCGUGUGUCCCUUGCAUGGAGUGGCAAAACGAGGCCCAGAAAGUGGGCUAGUUUCUGGCAGGACGCACCACAGUUCAAGACGGUAUCCUGCAGCGCUCAGCGAUUAUGGCCCACUCUGCAACCCUGGGAUGUUCGCCUUGACCCUGGAGAGGGAAGCGGGUGCAUUGCCACAGGCAGAGGGCUGGAUCAGAAGACCCAAAGGGCGCUCCUUCCAUGGGCCUUCCAGAGACUUUGCAGACACUCCCUCCAGCUGCCCGGCCCACCCCCUCUCCAUUGUCUUAGCUGACACUUUGGGUUGCGCUCCGGACUUCUGGCUGGUGGAGCGCCUCCCUGCCCCCACCUCCCUACCGCCUUUUCUGUCAAAGGCUCAGCGGGGCCCCCGCGCGGCCCACUAAUUAGCGCUGGCCCAGCCACACCUGCAGCGUCCUGGGAGAGGGCUGAGACAGGCGCCCAUGCGUGAGGCCGGGAUGGGGGCAAGCCCGGGGCAGCAGGUCCCGCACCUCCUCCCUGAUCCCGCUGGAGGGAUUAGAGGAGGGAGGGCAGGGGCUGGAAGCUGAGGGCUCUUCAGCCCAAGACCCUGCUUGUUGGGACUCUCUCCGUGUAACUCCUUCCCCUUCCAGUUGAGGAAACCGAGGUGGGGAGGCAAAGACAGUGGUUUGGCACUCAAGCUCCUGGGGGAUCUUCAGGGAUCUGACCUGGCUUCAUCCCUCCAACCAGGCUGCCAGCUUGUCCUUCCUGACCUUUGCUCCUGCUGGGCACCUCCACCCUCCAAGCCCAACAUCUUCUGCCCAAACAGAUGAAGCUCCAGGAUACCUCCUCCCCAGCCGGGAGCCAAGGCCCUUGGGGAACCAUUCUAGCUCCACGGGAGGCACAGGGGACCCUUCUUUCCCAAGGUAGAUGUUGGCAGGGUCAGCUCCCCAGGCUGCCUCCACUCUUUCUAGUGUCUCCUCCUUUCUAGCCAAUCCUCUCUCAGCCACUGCAGUGAAAUCAGCCUUAAAGUCUCAGGCCUCUUUAGCCCACCUCCCCCGGGGGAGGGGAAUGCCUAAGUCACCUGGACUCACCUCCACCGUGGCCCAGCGAGCACUGGGGCCUCCCUGCCCUUAGGCACCCCCAGCUUUUCUCCCAGAGUUCUCCUGUCUGGGAGUGCUUACAGACCCAGGGUAGGAGGCCAGGCUGGGGAGGAGACAGGUGGAGAGGGACAGAGUGGCCCUGCCUCUGGCGUACUGAGGGUGCAGCCCUAAAUUUCCAAACCCUUGCCAGCCCUGCGCCUGUCCACAGGCCCCAGGGAGAACCACCCCCCUCAUCCCUCCCACUCCCAGAGCCUGAGGAGGAAGUGAGUGAGGCGGGGAGGGGAUUGGGAGACACUGUGGAUGAAGGGACACACCAAGGAAUCCCAGCCUUCCCCUGGGGGUGGGAGGGCAUCUGGGCUGGGCUGAGGCUGGCCCGGUGCAUCCUGUGAGGAUACUUGAUAGGCAGCAAAAGUAAAGGCGCUGGCAGGGAGCAGAGCCUAGAGGGGCUCCCCUGCACUGACCUUUGCUCUGGGUCCACUGUUGGGUUGUUUGGUGUGAACACAUUCUCCUGGGUGGAGGCCAUAUAGAGCCAGCAUCGAGGGAAGCAUGCAAACAUGGGGGGCGGGCACAGCCAUCCCUGGGUUCCAGCCUGGGUCAGAACCUCCAGGGCAUGUUGACUAUACAUAAGGGGCUGGGUGGGAAAGAGCUGGCUGGAGGUGGCUCCAGGCUUGGGCCAACCUGCCCAGAGGAGUGUGGGGUUAGAUGGUACCUAUAGGGUCCCUGGGUAUCAGGAGGUGGGGGCACUUUCCAGGAAGAAGGAAAGCAGAGCAUGAAGGUGCAGAUCACACACCACACUCAGCACCCAGCAACUCCCGGGUGCCUGCAGGGAGGAGGGACGGCCUGCAGGGAGUGGGGCUCAUCACAACAGACUGGCAAGAGUCACACAUGCCAGCUCAGGGCUCCAGGCCUGGGCUCUGGACCCAAGGGGGCCCAGUCACUGCAUAUUUCUGGGCCUUGGUGACCCUAGCUUUGGCCUAGGGAGUAUCCGGACCUCCUAUCCUCCCCCGAGCUCCAUGGGGCAGGGCCUACAGGCCUUGCUUGAGAAAUCUGACCCACCCCAUUCUCACCAUUUCUUCUUAGCUGGAAUGUGCUCCACCCUCAGCACCUGCCUCAGGCCUCAGGAGGUGCCCCACACCCCAGGGCUCUCCUCCCAUGCGCCCCCGGGCCCCUUUACUCUGAUUUCACCCCUCAGCUACCCUCUGAGUUCACUCCACCUCCUCUCCUGGCCUGGAUAGCAACAGAGGAACAGAGGGAGGUGGGGUGGCUGCAUCAGGCUCACUUCCCCUCACACCACACUCCCUGUUAGGAGCCUCUGGCUCUGCAUAGCUGUGGCGGGCCAUGCUGGUUUACUCCAGUGAGCCUCUGGCUCUGCAUAGCUGUGGCGGGCCAUGCUGGUUUACUCCAGUGAGCCUCUGGCUUUGCAUAGCUGUGGCGGGCCAUGCUGGUUUACUCCAGUGAGCAGGGCGGCCUGAGAAUUCACCAGGCCAGGGAGAGUGACCUUGGACAAGGAGAUGCAGGGGUUCCCUUUGGUCCUCUGGACCUUGCCCCAGACAUCUGGGCCACCCUUGCAGGACAGGCACAGGAGCCACAAGUAGGGCCUCCCCUCUGAAAUUGACAAGGGUACAUCCCAGCACCUGUAGACACUUCCAUGCCCCACACCUGGAUACGCAUUCUUAUCCCAGCUGUACACACACUCACCAUACUCAGAUAUGUGACACUGCCAGAACACAUACACAAGUGUUCUCUCCAUGAGUGCACAUGCACACACGUACAUCACACCUAAGUGCACACACACACACCUUUGCCCUGAGUGCAUAAGCAUGCAGUCACACAUUUCCUUACCCCAAGUGAAGGUGGGAGCACCCCCUAGGCACAUGCUCCUACCUGCUUAUGCACACAGGCACCCUCCUCAGAACACACAUACGACAUGCACCCAUUGAUGUGACGCACACGGGGCACCUAUUUCCUCAGGCUGAGAGCGCUGACACUCUGCACUGCCACACACACCACUCCAAGUACACUUAAUCACACCCCGCCUGACUCUGAGUGCUUGGGUGCACACUCCUCACACAGGCACGUUUACACAAGAGCAGGUGCACAGCACACCCCACUCUCAGGGGCAACUGGAAGCUAUCUCUGGACUUCGGGUGUUACAGCAGGAUUGGGCUGAUGACAGCUACUCCCCAGCCCUCUCUUCUGGGGUGGGCUGGGCUGGGGACCUGCAACCCUUCACCUGCAGAGGUGGCCUCUGGUCCAGGUGGCCCCACUGCGUCACUCUGCUGGACAGAGAGCCCUCCAGGUCUCCCCAGGUCUUGGGUCCUCCUCCUUUUCUGAGGCAAGAAGCGGGGCCCGGGAACCUGGCAGCCCACCCCAGCUCCCCACCCUGACCUCACCCGUCACGGUGGAGGGGCUACUCACUGACACGGGGGUGGGUGAUGUAGUUUCGGGUGACCGCCUGCAUGUGUUCUCGGGCUGCACCUAGGUUGCAGCUACUGCCGGGGAGCCCCCCAGGCCUGCUGUCUAUCUCCAUGGCCAUGGAGCAGUCCCCAGCUGGGAGCCCAGUGUCUGAGCCUGCUGCUGGUGGCAGCUCUGAGACUUCAGGUCCAGCUGGAGCUGGAGAGAGCUGCUCAGCCUUCCCCUGCAGCCACCCCUCCCCUCUCCCCCUCCCCUCCCUCUCCUCCUCCUCUAGGUUGACAGUAAACAAGGAAGCCUGGGGCUCUGGCUCCCAAGCUUUCCCCACACCAAGCUGUGCAGGUCUGGGAGGGGCCCCCGUCACCUGAGAGCUGGAGGAUGUGGAGGGAGAAGGGAAGAGGGGAGGGCUGGCUUUUUCCUUCUUCUGUGCUAGGCGGUUCCUCCCCGCCAACCCCAAACUGUAUGAAUUCAAUUCCUCCCCUGGACCAUCAGGUGCUGUCAACAUUCCCACACUCGUCCCUCACCACAGCUCUUUCUGGUCUCUCCACACCCAACUUCUGGCAGGCUGCCCUUUCUUCACUGUUCUCGCAACCUGACCUUACCCUGCACUCCUUGCCCUGACUAUACCUGGAUACUUCUGCCCCCUGACAAUUCCAUCGUCAUCUUUUUGAACAUCUGUAGAGAAUUAUUUCCUGGUCAGCCUCAGUGCCAUCUCCUACAUGAAGCCUUCUCUGGAUUCUCUAGCAGCCAAGAUUUACUACACAUCUAGCCUCUUUCCUAAGUCAUGCCCUUUAGGAGAGGCCUCUCUUGUCCCUGCCACUGGGCUGUGAGCCCCCAAAAGCUGAGCCUGUGUCUCAACCCACAGACCUGGGUCUCCUGAAGCCUGUCUGUCUCAUACUAUUGAGAGUUCUUGAGAAUGAGGGCUGGUCUCUCUCCAUCUGAUCAUAGAACCGUGUCUCAUCUUCUCACAUUCACCUCCAGAUUUCUAUACAGCAGGCCUGCCCUGACCUUUCCAGCCCAGGUCAGAAAGUAAAAUGGAGGUCCCUGUAUUGUAUAACUAAAUACCUGGAGUUAUAAAUCAAACUAUGUGCACAGCCUGGCCUGGGUUCCACCCAAGACCUCACCACUGCUUCCCAAGAACUCUCUCUUCAUGUCAUGAAACUAAGAGUUGUGGUUUCUCCUGGUGAGUGGAGUGUGGUACAGUUCCUCUGGGCAAGGCAGGGUGGACCCUGGGUGGUAGCUGGACCUGCCCAACCCAAGGUCUUCUAGUCACCCCCAUGCCUCAUUCUAGGCUCAGGAUUUCUGCAUUUCUAAGCUCCUCCCCAAACCAUACCACUGAGCAGAGGGAACGGCAGAAGUACAUUUGCCUAGGGAUCACUGUCCCCAAGCACCCACUCCAGGUGACUCAGGACAGCCAAUUUGAAACCAAAGCAGCAGCUACUAUGUUUCUCAGAGCAGACUGGAGGAGACUGUGCUUGUUAUUUCUCUUCACAGAGUCAAAAUCUUACCCCGCAUCCUCCCUCCUGAGGACCCAUUUCAGGUCUCUGGUUCCUAAUGCCCAUCCUUUCAAAGAACUCUCCUGUGGAGGGCGGGGGUGGGUGUGACCAUCAAGGAGCAGCAUGAGGAAGAUCUCUGUGGUGAUGGAACAGGUCUGCAUCUGGAUUGCAGCAGUGAGUCCAUGAAUCUAUAAAAUGACAUGGCACUAUGCACACACACGGUACCAAUGCCAAUUUCCUAGUUUUGAUAUUGUACUAUAGUUAGGGAAGAUGAAGCCUAUCUGUCUCAUACUAUUGAGUUCCUGCCAAUGGAAGGAACUUCUCUGUCCUAUCUCUGCAGCUUCCUGUAAAUCUAUA
This 14394-nucleotide long non-coding RNA is filed under the name Homo sapiens (human). RNAcentral's name for it is "HSALNT0303504". The record is from RNAcentral. Lineage: Eukaryota; Metazoa; Chordata; Mammalia; Primates; Hominidae.